GGGAAGCCGGGGCUGGCUAGCAGUGCCCUUUUGUCCAUGGAGGCUGCAGCGGCGGCGGCGACGACAGCCGCCCCCUCCCCACCCCCGGCGGUCACCAGUCGGAGUUUCCAAGUCUCUCCUCCUUCUCUCCUCCCCGCCCGGCGCUUCCGAGCCCCUUCUCUCUCUUUUCUUUUUAUUUUUCCGCACCGCACGGGCCCCGGGGGCCAAAAAUAAUCGGGGCUCUGGAGAGAGGAGGGUCCCGGCCGCACGGAUAUCGGGCCCCGAGGGGGGAUGGAGGCGUCGGGGGCGGCCGAUGCAACGGAUUGCGAGGCGGCGGCGGCAGCCCGGGUGCUGCGGCCGGCAGCUGAAAAAUGGCUCCAGGAAGCUGCUGCUGACAAUGAAUGAAGGGAUACGGUUUACGCGCCAAGGUCCUCCCGCGAAACUCAGAUUUCCCGCCGGCUUUUCAAACCAUAUUUGCAUAUCCCCGCCCUCCAACCCGGCGAGGCCCGUUCCCACAGCCCAUUGGGCCGCUGCCUCCUCACUUAACUCCCAAUCGAGGCGCAGGGCCGCGACUUGCCGGUUUCCGUUGGCCACCGUGCAUCAUGGUUACCGGGGCUACAGAGGCUCUAUUUGCAUAGGCCUCCUUGAUUGGUCGGGGGAGAGCAGGGUUUUUUAGGAGGUGGGGCCAAGCCUUCCCUUCUCUCCCACGGAAAACCACGCCUUGUCCAAGCUCCGCCCGGUCCCCGCCCGCGCGUCGGGCGGGGGCUGCUGACCUGGGCAGGCGCUCAGCGCCCCGCAGACUCAGUGAGGAUCCGGUCUGGAGCGCAAGUUUCGCUUUUAGAAAUCGUCAAGGUGACCAAGGGGACACUCGCUGGAAUUCUCUUUCCUCUGGCCAGUCAGUGUAGUAGAUGUGCACGAGCUGGAGGUUUUCCCAAAUACGUUCCAAAGGCAAAGUUGGACCACGCGGACGAUGCCCGGCAGGUGGGCUCGGAGCCCUUUAAAUCGUGGGUUUCUCUUUUCCUGAAUUCCAACCAAUGCCGCGGCGAGAGCUGAUCCCGAGGCCCAGGCUGAUCGACAGAAGCAUGUGGGCAGACGGGAUCGUGGGGGCAGAAGGUUGGGCUGACGCUAUUGCGGGCACCACUUGAGUUAGCAUUCCAGAUCCUUCCUGGUGGCUUCGUUAGGAGCCUGGAUGGGGUCGAAGUGACAAUUAACUCUGCAAGGUCUGGAGCGAAAGCUUACCACGAGUGUUGGUUUGAGUCCCGCGGAUGCCCCUCCCCCCCGACCCCUCCCGGUCCGGGAGCACCCAGGGCAUUUAAUCAGGGCUAACCUAGGGCUGAUCUGCGGGUUUCUAAUCCGCCAGGCAGGAACCCGAAGAAGUGCACGCUUCGCACGGUGACGUCUUGCUCCCAGCCAACGCUGCGCGCCCAGACACCGGCGCUUGACAAUCUCGGUUUCCUACCAAGUUCUCCGUCAGAAAGCAAACGCGGCGAUCGAGACUCAUUCCAAAACAUUUUUAAAGACUUUUUUUUUUUUUUAAUUUUAGCAUACCAUAAGUGGUCACCCAAAGUCUAUAUGGCCGAAUGGACUUCUGCAUGGAUGCAACUGUUCAUGGGUCUUAAAAUCGAAGAUUGCCCCUGUGAGACUGCACAGGAAAAGGGACCCCUGCAGGAGUGUGGGGAAAGGUGUACGUGUCAGUCGUCAUUUACCAUUCCAGUCGCUGAGAAUUGUACAAAACAGCCGCUAAGCUGGUGUUCACGGGGUGAUGAGGGUUGCGAUUCUUCGUGUCCCGACCCAAAACUUUAUUAUGGUUAUGAUUCUUAUUAUUAAUAGUAAUUUCCAAAAACGCAUAUACUCAGUAUUAUGAAAGGCCUGGACAGAUAGGUCAGUGGAGGGAGGCUCAGACUCCUAAAUACUUCAGUCCUAUUACCUGGUCAAACCUGGCCUCUGGCUCAGGAAGGUUUUGCGCUUGCAUGCCGGCUAGUUGAGGACACGUGGCCUAGUCCCCAAACAUUUACUGACACCUAUCAUAAAACUGACACUCUCUUUAGGGCAGAUUAGAUGGUACUCAGAGGGCAUCAAUUCUUUUGGACUAGAGGUGUAAUGUAUUAGUUUCCCUGAUUCUGUCCCAUGGAUGCUGCUUUCCACCAUGGGUGGGAAAAGAACCCUAGUACUGUCACUAGGUGGAUAUUACCCGCUGUGGUACAUGGCUGGCGGCGUGCUUGUGGUGGUGGCAGUGAGGGUUGUGGGGGAGUCGUGACGGACCUGCAUUUUUAUGAUGAGAGACAAGCCCAGGGUUUGGAACUGUAUGCAAAAUCCCAGCUAGAGCGCCCAGCGAGGGAUUACGAUGACAUCCACAGAGGGCUGUGUUCACACAAUCCAGAUCCACACUGGUGAUUCUGGUUUAGAAAGCUCUGACACCCUUCUCCUUUAGCCAAGCUAUAUUUUUAAUGUAGGGUAUUUGGUCGAAAGCAAACGUUUUGUCCUUUUAGGUCUUGCGGCAGAAAAUAAGAUGCUAAAAUUUGAGGUAGGCUAUUGAUUUGUGGACAGGGAGCAUGUUUUGGUAGAAAGAUAAUGGGCUUUGGAGCCACUUACUAGUUACAUAACUUUAAUCUCUAAAAGCCUGUUUUCUCAUAUGUUCUCUGGGAACUCCUAUUGCAGUGCCCAUAUUACAAGGUCAUGAUGAAAGAGGCAAUAAUAAAUGUUAAGCACCGGGCGUAUAGCAUAGCAGGCGUUCGAUAAGUGGGAGCUAUUUAUGAUUCUGUUUAUUUGUGUGACUAUGCUUUGUAGCUCUGUGUUGUCCAAUCUGACUCCCAGCCUCAAAUCUUCCCUUUUGCCCUUGGAUGUUCACUGGCCACGCAGCUUAGCUUUGUCCCAGAGUAGGAGCACUGGCAUGUUCUGGUUAGUAGGGAUUCCGGAAUCCUGACGCAGAAGUUCAGGGUAAUAAAAUAAAGUCAUCUCUGCUGCCUGUCCCACUCCCAUCUCAGUGGCUCCUGGCUGGCUCCUAAGUCUGAGCCUUCCUAUCCUUCUCUGGAAGGUCAGACCGAUCUGGACUAGAGCCAAACUGCUUUUGCCAAUCAGCACCCCCUUUCUCUUGCUUCGACAGUGGCCCAGGCAGCUAGCUGUUACAAAAUGGGCCUGCAUAGUUGGUUUGAAUGGUGGCCCCUCCAAAAAUCAUGUCUUUAUCCUUACCCCCAGAACCCAUAGUGUGAACAUAGUUGGAAAAAGGAUCUUUGCAGAUCUAAUUAAGUCAAGAAUCUCAAGAUCCUUUUGGGCGAGCCCAAAGUCCCGUGACAAAUAAAUCCAGUGACCAAUGUCCCUGGAAGAGACACCCAGUGGAAAGACACAGAGGAGGAGAGACUUUGAGAAGGUGGAGGCAGAGACCGGAAUGAGCAGCUCCAAGUCAAGAAAUGCCAGCAGCAACCAGAAGCCAUGAGAGGCAAGGGAUAGAAUCUUCCACAGAGCCUGUGGCGGAAGCAGAGCCCUGCCGACACCCAGAUUUAGGACUUCUGCCCUCUGGACCAGUGAGAGAAUAAAUUUCUGUUGUUCUGA
Mustela lutreola (European mink) is the source of this 3528-nucleotide long non-coding RNA. RefSeq lists it as uncharacterized. The transcript has 2 exons. The record is from RefSeq and is a predicted model, not a curated record. NCBI's taxonomy places the organism in Eukaryota, Metazoa, Chordata, Mammalia, Carnivora, Mustelidae.